GAUGAACGCUGGCGGCGUGCUUAACACAUGCAAGUCGAACGAAGCACUUUAUUUGAUUUCCUUCGGGACUGAUUAUUUUGUGACUGAGUGGCGGACGGGUGAGUAACGCGUGGGUAACCUGCCUUGUACAGGGGGAUAACAGUUGGAAACGGCUGCUAAUACCGCAUAAGCGCACAGCAUCGCAUGAGGCAGUGUGAAAAACUCCGGUGGUAUAAGAUGGACCCGCGUUGGAUUAGCUAGUUGGUGAGGUAACGGCCCACCAAGGCGACGAUCCAUAGCCGACCUGAGAGGGUGACCGGCCACAUUGGGACUGAGACACGGCCCAAACUCCUACGGGAGGCAGCAGUGGGGAAUAUUGCACAAUGGGCGAAAGCCUGAUGCAGCGACGCCGCGUGAGCGAAGAAGUAUUUCGGUAUGUAAAGCUCUAUCAGCAGGGAAGAUAAUGACGGUACCUGACUAAGAAGCACCGGCUAAAUACGUG
This 481-nucleotide ribosomal RNA is filed under the name uncultured bacterium. Its description in RNAcentral is "partial 16S ribosomal RNA". It matches the Rfam family "Bacterial small subunit ribosomal RNA", at positions 28 to 507 of the family's 1533-position model. The record is from RNAcentral.